CGGGCGGCGGGCGGAGGGCGCCGGGCGAGCCCCGCGGAGGAGCAGAGUCAUUUUGUCCUGGCCUGCAGCUCCCUGCCUACCCUGACAGAAGUCUGCUUUCCUGCUCUGAUUUCUUCACUCAAAGUGUAGCUUCUCUUGGAAAGUGGAAUUGUGCUGCAGGGAGGGGACAAGGUUUUGGCAGGGCAAGGAGAACACCCAGGUAGGUGAAUGAAUUAAAUUCAUGGCUUUGGCCACUGGAGCACUGGGCUGGGUUUUUUCAGCAGUUAUUGUAAGGAGAAAAGAAACCAAACCAAACCAAAUGUGUGAGAGGGCUGGGACACUUUCUACUUCUCAGGCUCUUGUCUGCAGUUGCAUGUGCCAGCUGGGACCUACAUCCCUCAUCUCUUGCUGCUCAAGCUGAGAGUGUGAUGCAGUGCUUUGGGAAAAGCACUGUGCUUCCCUUCUGGAGCUCAUCCAGCCCCCAAAGCAGGUGGAAGAGGCUAAGGGAUGAGUGAUGCAGCAAUGUCCCUGGUUAGCCCUCCCUGCAAUCCCAUCUGCAGAUAAAACUGCAUCCAGAAGUGGUCAUGCUGAGGGGGUGUCCCAGAUGGGACCACAUGCACCACAACAUGCUACAUUCUGCCUGAGCCAGCCCCAAAAAGCUCUGCUACAGUGAGGAAGGAGGAAGUGAAGGCUGCAGCCUCUUGGUAUGUACUUAUAAACCCUGGGAAGCACUGAUGGAUGGGCCUUGCUUGGCCUGGCAGCUGUAAAUCCCCUGCUCUGCUGGUGAUGGCAGUGCCCCUGCUCUGGCAUGGGUGACUGGCAGGGCUGGGGGGAUGUCCCUGUCUCUGCUGCUUUUGGGGGCAUCUUUGCUGCUCUGAACUACUCCCCUCCCAGGACCAUAUGGGCCACUAAGAUGAUUAAGGGAUUGGAGCAGCUGUCCUGAGAGCUGGAAAAAUGAAUGCUUGAGAAGAGGGUUCUUGUCCAUGCCUGGUUGGGGGAUAAAGAAUCACACAACAGUAAUGUUGGAAGGAACCACUAUGGGUCAUCUGGUCCAGCCUCCCUGCUCAAGGGGUCAUCCUAGAGGGCAUUGGACAGAAUUGUGUCCAGAUGGUUUUUUAAUACCUCCAGUGAGGGAGACUCCACACCCUCUCUGGGCAACCUGUUCCUUUGUGUGGUCACCCACACAGUGAAGUUUUUCUUCCUCAUUUUCAUGUGGAACUUCCCGUGCAUUAGUUUCUGCCCAUUGCCUCUUGUCCUGUUGCUGGGCAUCACUAAGCAGAGCCUGAUCCAUCCUCUGGCACCCUCCCUGCAGAUACUGACAGACACUGAUGAGGUCCCCUCUCAGUCGUAACUUCUCGAGGCUGAACAGCUCCAGCUCCCUCAGUCUUUCAUUGUAAGAGAGAUGUUCCAAUUCCUUAAUCAUCUUUGUAUCCCUCUGUUGGAUCUGCUCCAAGAACUCCAUGUUUCUCUUGUAUGGAGGAGCCCAGAACUGGACACAGCAUUCGAGAUAUGGCCUCAGAUAUGGAGGGGCAGGAUCUUGUCCUGCUGCCAAUGCUCUUUCUAGUGCAUCCCAGGAUACCAGUGGCCUUCUUGGUUCCCAGGGCACACUGCUGCCUAAGGGACAGCUUCUUGUCCACUGAGACUCCCUGGUCCUUCUCUGCAGAGCUGCUUCCCAGCAGGUUGGCCUCCAUCAGGUACUGGUGCAUGGAGUUAUUCUUGCCCAGGUGGAACAUCAUGGCGGGUGUUCAGGGAUUUAAACCAGCAGAAGGUGAUGUGCAGAGUUGAGAAGAGGAAGGCAAAUGAUACAAGCUUAAAAAAAUUGCAAGUGAAAGCACAGAGACACAUCACACACAGAGGGGGAGCAGUUCUGGGGGCCCCCAGCCCCACAAUGACACCAUGCAGGAUAUAGGGGCAAAAGCCCCAGCAGCCCUGCUUCAUGGUGCAGGCAGAAAUAUCCAGGAUCCCUCCUCUCUGCCCAGCCCAUUCGGGAGGUGGCACAGGACCCAGCAAUCUGCCAUGCACUUUGUAGCCUGAUGCCACCUCUUCCUUGGUGGGGCAGCCACAUGCUGCCAAGGCCACUGAACUCAGGAAAUUUAAUAAAAGCAGUGAGAACCAAUCAUGCUGGGAGUGUCAGGGAGGUGGCCCCACCAUGCUGUCACAGCCACCAAGAGGGCAGAGUUCCUGGGAGAGCCAGAGGAAGCAGUGCUUCCUUCCCAGCAAGCUUCUGAAAAUCCAGUAGCUUGUUGGUGCUGAGGAGCUGCACAGGAGGGGCACAAAAACCUCCAAAAACCUCCAGGCUCAGGGAAUGUGGUGAGGGACAAGUAGCAAGGGGGGACACAGAGGGCAGCCUCCCUCCCAGCCCGGUGGUGUGUCCCUCACACAGCGAGGUGGGGACAGCGGAUAUCCUGGGACAAGGCACAGCCAGAUAGGCAGAGCAGCUCACAGGGUGGUUUAGCAUUCCCUGCCACACCCAUCCGGUGUGGGAACAUUUAGGAACAUGGCCUGGCCACCACAGCUGCUGUAAUCUGCUUCCAGUGCCGGACAUGGGUCCUUAGUGGUGCAAACUGGAAGUCAGGGCCUAGAUAACCAACAGCAGCUGGAGAUGGGGAACAUGUGGAUUUACACACACAUACACACACACACACACAAACACAGGAAGGGCAGUUUCCAUUUCCAGGGCAGCCUUGGUUUUGGUGGCCCCCAUCCUGUGUGGCCACCUCCUAUUACCUUGGGUGAUGCAUCCCAUGCUGAGCAGCCAAAUUUUGGCAACAUUUGGCUGAGUUGCAGGGCCAGAAAUCACAAUUAUUUUCCAUGACAUCCCCUGUCACCCUCCAGGCAGCUAUGCUGACACCCAACUUGCCUUGCCCCAGGCGCUGGGACCAAAAAAAACACCCUUACAGUGACACCGACACUCUUUAAAGGUUUUUAUUUCUGCUUUAAAAUCAAAAUUAGUCAUUCUCUGUAAUUACAUUAUAUAUAGAUUUAUAGAGACAAUAUAGAAAAGAAUUUUUUGCUUUUGUUUUUCUGCAAAAAUCUGUAAAUAAAAAAUAAAAUAAAACAAAACAAACAAAAAAAAAA
This is a long non-coding RNA of Melospiza melodia melodia, 3057 nucleotides long. RefSeq lists it as uncharacterized. NCBI's taxonomy places the organism in Eukaryota, Metazoa, Chordata, Aves, Passeriformes, Passerellidae. The transcript is spliced from 2 exons. The record is from RefSeq and is a predicted model, not a curated record.